RNAcentral lists this ribosomal RNA (677 nucleotides) under uncultured Vibrionaceae bacterium. RNAcentral's name for it is "bacterial SSU rRNA". It matches the Rfam family "Bacterial small subunit ribosomal RNA", at positions 1 to 671 of the family's 1533-position model. Lineage: Bacteria; Pseudomonadati; Pseudomonadota; Gammaproteobacteria; Vibrionales; Vibrionaceae. The record is from RNAcentral.
UAGAGUUUGAUCAUGGCUCAGAUUGAACGCUGGCGGCAGGCCUAACACAUGCAAGUCGAGCGGUAACAGAUUGAUAGCUUGCUAUCAAUGCUGACGAGCGGCGGACGGGUGAGUAAUGCCUGGGAAUAUGCCCUGAUGUGGGGGAUAACUAUUGGAAACGAUAGCUAAUACCGCAUAAUCUCUUCGGAGCAAAGAGGGGGACCUUCGGGCCUCUCGCGUCAGGAUUAGCCCAGGUGGGAUUAGCUUGUUGGUGAGGUAAUGGCUCACCAAGGCAACGAUCCCUAGCUGGUCUGAGAGGAUGAUCAGCCACACUGGAACUGAGACACGGUCCAGACUCCUACGGGAGGCAGCAGUGGGGAAUAUUGCACAAUGGGGGAAACCCUGAUGCAGCCAUGCCGCGUGUAUGAAGAAGGCCUUCGGGUUGUAAAGUACUUUCAGUUGUGAGGAAGGCGUUGAAGUUAAUAGCUUCAACGUUUGACGUUAGCAACAGAAGAAGCACCGGCUAACUCCGUGCCAGCAGCCGCGGUAAUACGGAGGGUGCGAGCGUUAAUCGGAAUUACUGGGCGUAAAGCGCAUGCAGAUGGUCUGUUAAGCAAGAUGUGAAAGCCCAGGGCUCAACCUCGGAACAGCAUUUUGAACUGGCAGACUAGAGUACUGUAGAGGAGGGUAGAAUUUCA